RNAcentral lists this ribosomal RNA (497 nucleotides) under uncultured bacterium. RNAcentral describes it as "partial 16S ribosomal RNA". It matches the Rfam family "Bacterial small subunit ribosomal RNA", at positions 28 to 507 of the family's 1533-position model. The record is from RNAcentral.
GAUGAACGCUGGCGGCGUGCCUAAUACAUGCAAGUCGAGCGAACAGACGAGGAGCUUGCUCCUCUGACGUUAGCGGCGGACGGGUGAGUAACACGUGGAUAACCUACCUAUAAGACUGGGAUAACUUCGGGAAACCGGAGCUAAUACCGGAUAGUAUAUUGAACCGCAUGGUUCAAUAGUGAAAGACGGUUUUGCUGUCACUUAUAGAUGGAUCCGCGCCGCAUUAGCUAGUUGGUAAGGUAACGGCUUACCAAGGCGACGAUGCGUAGCCGACCUGAGAGGGGGAUCGGCCACACUGGAACUGAGACACGGUCCAGACUCCUACGGGAGGCAGCAGUAGGGAAUCUUCCGCAAUGGGCGAAAGCCUGACGGAGCAACGCCGCGUGAGUGAUGAAGGUCUUCGGAUCGUAAAACUCUGUUAUUAGGGAAGAACAAAUGUGUAAGUAACUAUGCACGUCUUGACGGUACCUAAUCAGAAAGCCACGGCUAACUACGUG